Molecule: ribosomal RNA, 253 nt
Filed under: uncultured bacterium
Lineage: Bacteria
Description: partial 16S ribosomal RNA
Rfam family: Bacterial small subunit ribosomal RNA
Source: RNAcentral
UACAGAGGUCCCAAGCGUUGUUCGGAUUCACUGGGCGUAAAGGGUGCGUAGGCGGUCGGGUAAGUCUGAUGUGAAAUCUCACAGCUUAACUGUGAAACUGCAUUGGAUACUAUCCGGCUCGAGGAAUGGAGGGGAGACUGGAAUACUUGGUGUAGCAGUGAAAUGCGUAGAUAUCAAGUGGAACACCAGUGGCGAAGGCGAGUCUCUGGACAGUCCCUGACGCUGAGGCACGAAAGCGUGGGGAGCAAACAGG